This 101-nucleotide small nucleolar RNA is filed under the name Nomascus leucogenys (northern white-cheeked gibbon). RNAcentral's name for it is "Small nucleolar RNA U13". It matches the Rfam family "Small nucleolar RNA U13". Lineage: Eukaryota; Metazoa; Chordata; Mammalia; Primates; Hylobatidae. The record is from Rfam by way of RNAcentral.
AUCCUUUUGCAGUUAUGCAUAAUGACUGGGGUUUUCAUGCUUAUGAAUGAGACGUGCCUCCCUCAAACAUUGCUAUACAUCAGCACAUUAUGCAUCUGACA